AUACCCCUCAACUUCAAUCUUUGUUGAAUGAAGUUGGAUGUGGAUGCUGUUGUGUGCUGAUACGACUCAUCCUAAAUGCAUUAGCGAUCUGCCUUGGAUCACGCAAUGUGAUAAGAAAAAAGCAUUGCUGGACUCAUCAAGGAUUGCUCCCAACUGUCGGAAGACAAAAAGCAUAUAUGUC
RNAcentral lists this unclassified non-coding RNA (181 nucleotides) under uncultured Geastrum. RNAcentral's name for it is "sequence contains ITS2". Lineage: Eukaryota; Fungi; Basidiomycota; Agaricomycetes; Geastrales; Geastraceae. The record is from RNAcentral.